GUGUGUAUGGCUCAGUUGGUAGAGUAUUUGCCUAGCAUGUGGGUGGUUCUAGGUUCAAUCCCCAGUACCCCCA
This 73-nucleotide transfer RNA is filed under the name Ictidomys tridecemlineatus (thirteen-lined ground squirrel). RNAcentral's name for it is "Spermophilus tridecemlineatus (thirteen-lined ground squirrel) tRNA". It matches the Rfam family "tRNA". Rfam says of the family: Transfer RNA (tRNA) molecules are approximately 80 nucleotides in length. Their secondary structure includes four short double-helical elements and three loops (D, anti-codon, and T loops). Lineage: Eukaryota; Metazoa; Chordata; Mammalia; Rodentia; Sciuridae. The record is from Rfam by way of RNAcentral.